CAGCACAAAUUUCACAAGCAAGACCAAACAGAAAAACAAUCGUUGGAACACCUUAUUGGAUGGCUCCUGAACUUAUUCGUGGUCAGCCAU
This 90-nucleotide non-coding RNA is filed under the name Paramoeba aestuarina. The record is from RNAcentral. Lineage: Eukaryota; Discosea; Flabellinia; Dactylopodida; Paramoebidae.